AUUGGAGGAGGGGGGUCCCUCAGCCCAGAUGUGAGAGGGCGCAGGCCAGGUGAGGGACCCCACUGGUGCAUG
This is a non-coding RNA of Myotis brandtii (Brandt's bat), 72 nucleotides long. Lineage: Eukaryota; Metazoa; Chordata; Mammalia; Chiroptera; Vespertilionidae. The record is from Rfam.